GGCCAGGCCAUCAGACUGAGGAUUUGGCAUUCGAGCUCAAGGUGACGGCGAUCACCCGAGUUCGAGUCAUACAACUGAACUGUACCCUGAAAGGGAGGAUUUGGCCUUUGAGCUCAAGGGGACGGCGAUCACACGAGUUCGAAUGUACAACUGAACUGUACUCUGAAAGGGAAAUAAGAAGAAGAAAGAACAAAAGAAAAUCAGCUUUAGAGUGGUAUGGAGAUGCCACACACAGCUAGUCUCUUCUUCUCUUUAACUCUGAGCUUCAUUCUUCACUUCUGGCUACCAGCCUCUUCAGCAUGGCCUUUGCAAAGAACGUAUAAUGGCUCGUCAGCGACGGCAAUCUUUGUAUUUGGGGACUCGACUGCUGAUCCCGGCAACAAUAAUUACAUAAAUACUGUGAUUAAGGCGAAUUUUCCACCGUAUGGUCGAGACUUUGCGCAGCAUAGACCUACGGGACGAUUCACAAAUGGCAAGCUCGUCGCUGAUAUGCUAGCUUCUGCAUUCGGGGUUAAGGAGUAUAUUCCAGCGUACUUAGACCCCACACUGACUGCUAAGGACUUGUUGACUGGGGUCAGCUUCGCCUCAGCAGACUCUGGUUAUGACUCUCUCACAGCAGAGAUAACUGGGGUGAUCCCAGUUGAUAAACAAAUCGAAUAUUUUAAAGAAUAUGUGGCGAAGGUGCAAGGCCUGAUAGGGAAAGGCAAGGCUCUAAAACUCAUAAAGGGCGCCCUCUUUGCUUUGAGUGCCGGGACCAAUGAUUUUGGAUCCAAUUACUUUCUUCUUCCCUUGAGAAGUAAGCAUUAUAACACGGAGGAGUACCAGCAAUUCCUUCUCAACAAGCUCCAAGGCCAUCUUCAAGCUUUGCAUGAGAUGGGGGCUGAGAAAAUAUUGGUGAUUGGACUUCCACCAGUGGGAUGCUUGCCAGAGCAAAUUACUCUCAAUUUUGCAGAUGGUUGUGUGGACUAUCUGAAUGGCGUGGCAGUAGACUACAAUUUGAAGCUAGUGAAUACACUGAGUAAUCUCCAAGCAACAUUACUAAGAGGCUCCAAAAUCAACUAUGGGAACAUAUAUCAGCCCUUACUUGACAUGAUUGGAAAGCCUGAACAAUUUGAUUGAGAUUAAAGGUUAAUCAUUGAUCCUGCGCCAUCAGAUGCUGGUGACUCGGUGUGAGCCCGGUUGAGAUUUUUAGUGAGAGAAAGUGAUAGAAGAGGGAGUUUUGUUGGUUGGCCCUAUCUCAGAGAGAGAAAGUGCAUAUUUGGUGUGUAUUUGUACCCUAUUUGUUGUCAUAUUUCUACAGAAGUAAAACUGUUGUAACUUGAAGCUUUGGAUAUCAUUCUCUUAUAAUCUCCAUUGAACUAGUAAGUAAAGCCUCACACCAUUCUUUUGUAGAUGUAGGACACGAUUUGUAGAUGAACCACAUUAAAUCUUUGUCUCAUAUGGUAUUAUUGUUGUUGUAUUUUCAAUCUAUGUGAUUACUUUGAUGCCAUAUUCUUUUUAUUACUUGUUUAUGUAAUAUUGGAUGCACAAUAAAUGUUAAUGUAACACACCACUAUUGUAUUUUCACCACCAUUGAUCACAAUAUAUUUUACCAUGUACCUUACUCAUUUUCAAGCUUUGAAGAGAUUAGAAGAGAUUGCUCUAGAACGGGAUUGAUAGAAACAGCGAUUUUAUGUAAUGCUAAAUCUCCCGUAUGUGCCGGCGCAUCCAAAUAUGUUUUUUGGGACUCCUUCCACCCAACACAACAGGGAUAUCAGCUGCUGAAACUAUUUGGCACCAAUAGUUUCAAGUUUAUUGGGCUAGGGACUAUACUAUGAGACCAUUUAUCUUUCUUGCAAAGAGCUUGUACCCGACUUAAAUUACAAAAGACAGGAGUGAUCUGCGAGCCCUUGUGCUAAAGGUACAUGGUUGCUUUAUAUACUUUUUCCUAAAUAAAAUCUCUAAGUAGAGCAGAAGAUUGUGGGUUCUUUGUU
Molecule: RNA transcript, 1973 nt
Organism: Amborella trichopoda
Lineage: Eukaryota; Viridiplantae; Streptophyta; Magnoliopsida; Amborellales; Amborellaceae
Gene name: GDSL-like Lipase/Acylhydrolase superfamily protein
Source: RefSeq, a predicted model, not a curated record